GAUUAUGGCUCAGGACGAACGCUGGCGGCAUGCCUAACACAUGCAAGUCGAACGGGGUUAUAAAAGUUACUUUCAAUUAAACCUAGUGGCGGACGGGUGAGUAACGCGUGGAUAAUCUGCCUAUUAGUCUGGGAUAACUCCGGGAAACCGGAGCUAAUACCGGAUAACAUUUUUCCUCGCAUGGAGAGGAAUUAAAAGGGUUUCCGCUAAUAGAUGAAUCCGCGUCCCAUUAGCUAGUUGGUGGGGUAAAGGCCUACCAAGGCGACGAUGGGUAGCCGGCCUGAGAGGGUGAACGGCCACACUGGGACUGAGACACGGCCCAGACUCCUACGGGAGGCAGCAGUGGGGAAUAUUCCGCAAAUGGGGGAAACCCUGACGGAGCAAUGCCACGUGAGGGACGAAGGCCUUCGGGUUGUAAACCUUUGUUUUAUGGGAAGAUAGUGACGGUACCAUAAGAGGAAGCCCCGGCUAACUACGUGCCAGCAGCAGC
This 490-nucleotide ribosomal RNA is filed under the name uncultured bacterium. RNAcentral describes it as "bacterial SSU rRNA". It matches the Rfam family "Bacterial small subunit ribosomal RNA", at positions 15 to 518 of the family's 1533-position model. The record is from RNAcentral.